This 301-nucleotide ribosomal RNA is filed under the name uncultured bacterium. Its description in RNAcentral is "partial 16S ribosomal RNA". It matches the Rfam family "Bacterial small subunit ribosomal RNA", at positions 509 to 807 of the family's 1533-position model. The record is from RNAcentral.
CAGUCGCCGCGGUAAAACGUAGGUGGCAAGCGUUGUCCGGAAUUAUUGGGCGUAAAGGGCUCGCAGGCGGUUUCUUAAGUCUGAUGUGAAAGCCCCCGGCUCAACCGGGGAGGGUCAUUGGAAACUGGGAAACUCGAGUGCAGAAGAGGAGAGUGGGAUUCCACGUGUAGCGGUGAAAUGCGUAGAGAUGUGGAGGAACACCAGUGGCGAAGGCGACUCUCUGGUCUGUAGCUGACGCUGAGGAGCGAAAGCGUGGGGAGCGAACAGGAUUAGAUACCCCCGUAGUCCCUGUCUCUUAUAC